UAAUGUAUGGGGAUCUGCCCGAUAGAGGGGAAUAACUACUGGAAACGGUAGCUAAUACCGCAUAACGUCGCAAGACCAAAGUGGGGGACCUUCGGGCCUCAUGCCAUCAGAUGUGCCCAGAUGGGAUUAGCUAGUAGGUGGGGUAAUGGCUCACCUAGGCGACGAUCCCUAGCUGGUCUGAGAGGAUGACCAGCCACACUGGAACUGAGACACGGUCCAG
This 220-nucleotide ribosomal RNA is filed under the name uncultured bacterium. RNAcentral's name for it is "partial 16S ribosomal RNA". It matches the Rfam family "Bacterial small subunit ribosomal RNA", at positions 111 to 334 of the family's 1533-position model. The record is from RNAcentral.